Long non-coding RNA from Dicentrarchus labrax (European seabass), 7767 nucleotides. RefSeq lists it as uncharacterized. Lineage: Eukaryota; Metazoa; Chordata; Actinopteri; Moronidae. The record is from RefSeq and is a predicted model, not a curated record. The transcript has 5 exons.
AGACACUUUGGGAGGAGGAUGGGUGAGGCAGUAGCCAGGUGAAGUGGAGAUGCAGGAGGGAGGAGAGUGGAUAUAAGGAGGGUGCUGCAGAGUGACAGUCUACAUUGACAGCAGAUCAGGCAGAAGGAUGAGUAGGACUCUGUUGUGGCUGGUGGCCUCUCUGGCCUUUGCCUCACUCACUUCUCUGGCUGAUGGAGCUCCAUUAUCCCAGCUGGUGACUUCAACAAAGAUCCCAGCAUUAAACAGUAUGUGUACCUGCAAGCUCGGUUCCCUGACCGACUGCUGGAGAAAGUCGUCUUAGUGUCCUUCCAGUUUGUGUACAUCUUCAUCCAGACAGACAAGACCCUCUAUACCCCCAACAGCGAUGGUACCGACCACUGCAGACCGGGAACACCCCACAAGAGGUGCAGUUUUGAAGAUGCUCUGACCCAGUUGUCUAGCCAUCACAAUUUGGCCCUUGUCAAAGUCGCUCAAAUCCUCAUGCUGCCCAUUUUUUCCUGCUUCUUAACUUUUAAUUCAAGCAGUUUUAUGAAAUUCAAUUUAUUUUUAGGAAAUAAAGAUUUGCCAGUAUCUUGAAAUGUUUUAAUUAGGUGUGACUUAAAAAAACACAAAUAAAUGAAUGAAUUUAAUUAAUUUAAUUGCACAAAACUACAAUUUAAAUAUAGGUAGUAUAAACUCCCCCAGUGAAGGGCUUUUUAAAGUGUAUGUGAAGAUGUCUGUGAUGUUUAAACCAAGAAAUGAGAAACUGUUGACACUUUCAACAGAUGACCUACUGAUGGGAGGAGUGUGAUUUCCUCUGAUCAACAAAGAUAUCUUUAGUCUUAUUGACAUUUAGGAAGGUUAUUAUAAUGGUACAAUACAGAAAAAUUUAAUGUUAGUUCAUCAGAUAGUAACUGAAUAUACAGAAGACCUUUAAGUUGACAUAUCAGUAAACAUGAUUUUAAUACGUGCAACCGAUGUAUAUUUUUCAUGUUAAUCCAAUUUUUGUUACGUUGUGUGCCAAUACAAACACACUAACACAUGAUUUCCCAGCAGCAGUUGAGAAACUGCUAUCUGAUCUGAGGAAAAAGAUAAACAGUAGAAAAUCAAUGAGGGUUUAAAUGUUUGACUAACCUCGCAGCAGCUAACUGCAAAAGUACAGAUCAUGUUUUUAAAUUCUGUCUUUUCUGAGCCUGCUGAAUCAGUAUAAUUACACAUAAUCAAACAUACUGAACAUCAUCAAAUUCUGAAGUUGUAUUAUAUAUAGCCAAAUAUUUAGAUUUACAUUUCUACAUGAAAUGUCCUUUGAUUGGGUGUACGUUAUUUUGGCAUUAUACUUUUUCAUGGAUUCAAGGUUAUUUCAUUGUCAUUUAAAUUUGGAUAUAGUUCCCUUUAUGCUACUUUUAAAAACUACGUAAAAAUUGAUUUCCGGGUUAUUAAAACUGAAAGGACACUCAUGAACCCCUUUUUUGGCAUUUAUUUCUAUAUAACAACAACAAUGACACAACAAUUGUUUGCCUUGCUGGCCACGGGAUUUUGGCUCCUAAUAGCCAAAAAGCAAUACAGUAUUCUUAUUUUAUGGUAUAAAAUUGGCAAAGAUCUCAGAAUUUACAUUACAAUAACAUUUAGAGGGGCUUCUUUCACCCAAAAGGAGGUGAGGGCUUGACGCAAGGCCAAAGUACCCGGAUGGGCUGCUCUCAUCUAUUGCUUGGUGGGGGUCUGGCCUUGCUUUGUGGUGUUGGCUGAUGGGGUAAUAUUAUAGUAUAUAAUUUAGCUUUUUUUUUAAGUUAGUAACUUUACUCCAGUUGUUACUUAAGAGUGCCAUUUAAUUCACAUAUAUUAUAGAGUGCACUUUCUGUGGAUUAUCAAUAGGAAACCAAAUGGGCAGUUAUCACCAUUCAUAGCCAUAGUGAACCUUCAGUUGGCAAAGUUCAAAACGUCUGCCUUUACAUUUGUAUGUUGUACUUUAAUUGGUAAUCUUCCAUUUUUCUAUUUAGGACUAGUUUAUUUAUUACUCAUAUUUAUUUAUUACCCUUUUAGACCUUACAUGCAGCAGGCUGUAGUAAAUAUGCUUUAGAAGGAUCAAGGCCUACUAAAAAAAGGAAGCUUCAUCUGUGUAACUCCUGCAAAAAAUAGACAUUGUGUCUUUUCCCUAAACUUUUAAUCUGGAUGAUUCAUUAUUUUCUUUUUUUUUUCAAACGUAUGAUAAGUUCCAGUUCAGCCAAGAGCAGCAAUAGUGUUGUCUUUAUUCUACAAGUCCAGAGUCCUAUUUGCUAUUUGGAUGUGAACAAAGUUUGUUUGAUUAGUAGCCUAUUAAUGAAACUAGGCCACACCAGAGAGCAGAUUGUCCUGAUAAACAACAGCUUUCUGUUUUUUUAACUGAUGACAUACAUAGUACUAGAUUAGGGGUCACCAACCUUUUUGAAACUGAGAGCUACUUCCUGGGUACUGAGUCAUACAAAGGGCUACCAGUUUGAUACACUCUUCUGAAAUAACAAAUUAGCUCAGUUUGCCUUUAGUUAUAUAUUAUUAUUAUGAUUAAUGAUACUCAUCUAUGUGAAGACACUGAUCAUGUUAAUGAUUUCUCACAAUAAUUAUCAAUAAUGACUUAACAAGGUGGGGAACAGAUAAUAUCAAUAUUCAAUACUUUAUUUCUAUUAAUCUCAGCAAUUGUUUAAAUUUUCAGAUGAUCACUUCUACAACAUUUCAUAGGAAAAAUGUCCCAUUUUCACUAGCCACUAACAAACACUUUUAACAAAUCAUGAACUAUGUUGCACCAUGUUUGAAAAAGUUAUCAAUUAUGUAAUGUUUAAGAACAAUCAACUUAUAUAUUUUUAAAUAAAUCUUAACACAUUUUGAACUAAUGACCAAAUCUGCGUCAUUUUCAACAAAAUUAUAUCUGUUACAUUUCAUGAACACACUUUUGAAUUGAACACAAUGUUUCAGUAUUUUAAUUCAACUUUGCCAUGUUGGCACUGACAACAUCUGGUAUCUGCUUCUUUGUUAGUGGGAAGACUGGCAUUGCAUGCUGUUCAUCAGUGUAUUGUAAUCUGGUGUGUAACCUGACACUGCAACUCUGAGUGAGUCUUGCAGAUGUGCAUCAGUGAGGCGUGUUCUGUGUUUGUUCUUGAUGAAGUUCAUGUCAGAAAACACUGAUUCACAGAGAUAGGUUGAACCAAACAGGCUGGCAACCUUCAUAGCUGCUGUGAAUACACCACUGUACGGUUCUGUGUCAACAAGGCACCAAAAGUUUGGUGCAGCCUGGUAGGCUUUGAGGUGGAGGUAAUUUUGCAAUGUUACGAUUUCAAUCUGCACCAGUCCAGCAUCCAAGUUGAACGUUGCACUUAGUUGCUCAGCAAUGCAUGUUAUGUCCACGUUCAUGAAAGGAUUGGAGAUGAAUGACACACAUGGCUCAAGCUGAUCAAGGUCACAGAACCUAUUCUCAAACUCUUGCCCAAGUCUGUUUAUGACUCGACAGUACUUUUCUGCAACAUUGUCAAAUAUCUCAGAUGCAGAAGCAUUGUCUUUCAGCACCGAGUGCACAGAGGGGAAAGUGCAGCACCUUUUUUCCAGCAGGGGUUGUAGCUGAUUGCGUGGUCUGUCCCGGGACCAUGGUCUCUGGCACAGACCAGUGGUCACUACCACUAGGUGCGCUAAAGACACUGGUCACGACCAGAAGAUUAUGAUCUCUGACAUUUAUCCAGCUAACAGUGCUGCCAAAAUGACCAAAAGGAAUACUAAAGGUCCUUCACAUACCACAGGGACCACAGGGCAGAUCACUGAGGAGUUGGUCAGGACCAGUAUCUUUUGCGCCCCUAGUGGUUGUGACCACUGGUCUGUGCCAGAUACCAGAUGGCCUGUGCCACAGAGCAACUGGUCGCAACCAGUGUCUCUAGCGCCCCUAGUGGCAGUAACCACUGGUCCGUGCCAGAGACCAUGGUCCUUGGACAAACCACAGAAUCGGCUACAACCCCUUCUCCUUUUUUCUCUGUAAAUGCACAGAGAAAAUGUUCAUCUUGUAUCUAUCAUAUCAACAACAGUCUUACCUUUACCUUGCAGCUCGCAGUUCAAGUGGUUUAGUUUAAACCAUGCAAGGUCAAGUGUCCACUCUGUGUCCUCUAGAGCGAGACGCCUUCGCCUUUGGACUGCAUGGACUCUUUGAUUUCACCCAAAUGUGACAAAAAACUAAGUAAAACUCGUCCUCUGCUGAGCCGUCGGAUUGCUGUGUGUAGCAGCAGGUCACCAUAUUCAGCUGACAUCUCCUCCAAUAGCACCUUCAAUAUCCGGUGCUGUUUCGCUUUGGAGCGGGUGCUGUUUAUGAUUUUCACAACGGGAGUCAUCACAUGCCCAAAGCCGAUCACUUUUGCACAAAUCGCCUGCUGGUGAUUGAUGCAGUGGUACUUCAGAAAUUUUGGGAAGUCUGGGUCACCUUUACAGUGAGUGAUGAAACCUGUAUGUCGGCCCAUCAUAGCAGGAGCCCCGUCUGUAGUCACCGCUACCAGCUUUUCCAAUGGUACCUUUUUCUGCACGAAAAACUCCUUCACAGCCUGUGAAUGUCAGCCCCCCUCGUAGUUGUCUUUAGGGGCAGUAGUGUCAGGAGUUCUUCUUUUGUGGAGAUAUCAUCAAACACCAUCCAGAUAAAGACCAAGAGCUGCGCUGUACUGCUGCUGUCCAUGGACUCGUUGCACUGGAUGCUAAACCACCUGCACUUCGUCAGAUCCCAGUCCAGCUGAGCCAAGUUACCGGACAUAACUGACACUCGUCUAGCCAUCAUAGAUGCCCCCAGUUGGACAUCGGAGAGAGUGGCGAUUCGAUCAGUUCCAUUUUUCUAGUCUUUAAGUACAGUGUUAGCAAUAAUCAUUAAUGCUUCUUUGACAACUUCUCCGUCUGAAAAUGCCUUCUUCUUCUUUAUCAGAAAAUAUGUAGCUCUAAAUGAGGCUUCGGUUGCUUUUUGGGAGUCUUUCGCCGGCCUCGUGAAAAAAGACUGCUGCUUACCCAAAGCUGCCUUUAGCUCACGGGCUUUUUCUGCCCAUAGCAGGCUGCCCGGUGGGUAGUUAGCAUGGUAGCUUUUGUGACACGUAAUGAAGUGUCUCUCAACAUUGUGCCGCUUUGCCGUCACUACAGUCGCCCCGCAAAUGAGACACACGCAGGUUUCUUUCACAGAAGUAAAAAAUAACUCUUCCUCCCAUUCACUGUGAAAAUGACAUGUUUUCUUUCUUUUUUCUGCCAUAUUUUUGGGAUAAGAAACCGCAUUCAACUCCCAAUCUUUGCUGCGCCCGUGAACGCUGAAGUUUUGUCAUGCACACAAUACUGACCUUUGACCUUUGACCGGCAACACGUGCACUGGAACGUGAACAUGUGGAGGAAUGUUAUGUUCAGUGAUGAGUCCAGAUUCUGCCUACGGCAGCUGGAUCGUGAGGUCAAAGUGUGGAGAAGAUGCGGAGAACGCCAUGCUGAUUGCUGCACCGAUAGAAUAACAUCUUUUGGUGGAGGCAGUGUGAUGGUGUGGGGCGGCAUCUCCCUCACUGGAAAAACAAGGCUUGUCAUCAUUCUAGGCAAUCUCAAUGCAGAGAGCUAUAGAGAUGAGAUUCUGCAACCAGUGGCAAUCUCAUAUCUCCACAGUCUGGGACUGAACUCUAUCCUCCAAGAUGACAGCGCUCGCCCCCACAGGGCAGGGUUUAUAAGAGACUACUUCCAGAAUGUGGGAGUGGAGAGGAUGGAAUGGCCUGCCAGUAGUCCUGACCUCAACCCCACUGAACACUUGUGAGAUGAGCUUGGGCGUGCUGUUCGUGCCAGAGUGACCAACACAACCACGUUGGCUGACUUGCGACAAAUGCUGGUUGGAGAAUGGGAUGCCAUCCCACAGCAGUGUGUGACCAGGCUGGUGACCAGCAUGAGGAGGAGGUGCCAGGCUGUUGUGGCUGUGUAUGGUUCUUCCACACGCUACUGAGGCUCCUGUUUGUGAAAUGAAUAAAUUGUUAUUGCCAAUAUGUCUUGUUUCUUCAAACUUCAAUCAUCCAAUCCACCAAACACCAAACGAGUCAAUGGCAGAAUAAGCUGUUUGGCAUUGGCAGAGAAGAUUUGGCAAAUUUUUCAUGGGCGCAACCCACAUACUCAGCUCUGCUGCUCAUCCCACAAGUGCAUGUUCCUUACAAAUGGGGCACCAUUUGAAAGGGAACUAAACAGGCUUUCCAACGGUAUAAGAUGCAUUGUUACCACAGAGAAAUAAUCAACCAAACACAAAUUUCUUUACUUUUUGUGCUAAUUUUAGACAUAGCAAGAUAGACAUGAUGGACAUACAAUCAGGGAACCAUAACAUUUUUACAAUGAGUCAGAAGUAGAAAUUAGUAGGGUAAGUGUAGGUAAGGUUGGUGUGUUUGCAGGUUGGUGUGUGGAGGAUUACAUGUGUGGCGGACAUAAAGAAAGUUAGUAAAACACAGUGUUAAAGUUAUAGUGAUAUUAUAUAUCAUGUAACAACAAUAUUGUUGUUGUAACAACAAAUGUUGUUACAUGAUGAUUACAUGUAAUAAUGAUUUCAUGUAAUAAUGUAGUCAUAAAAUAUUAAUUGAUAAUACACUAAUAAAUAUUGUAAUACAAUAUAAUAAUAACCAUGAUCAGAAUUAUUCUUGUAUUUAUAGAGCAAACGGAGCAAUGACGAGUGGCCAGUCUGGACCAAGGCGAAUAACUAAAAGUAAAAGAGAGAGAGAGAGAAGAGAGAGAGAGAGAGAGAGAGAGAGAGAGAGAGAGAGAGCUGUUGGCGCAUCUGAUUGGCGCAGAUGGGACACGUGGCCAGGCUUAUUUGCAUAUGGGCCGGCAGGUGAGCGUGGGAGAAAAUAGUUUCAGGUAUGCCGCGAGCACACCGAUCCCUGACCGCCGGAUUAUGAAUUUAGGAUCUUGCAGUGAACCAGGAGUCACCACAGGACCCUCAACAACCGCCAGAUGCUCCAUUGUCAUUGCUGUGAAUGGUGUGUUGGUCCAUAUGUGAGAACACAGGCCACACAGAUCUGAUCAAUACUUUAAAUUCCUCAGGGAGCUGUUUGUCACCAUGGCGAUGCAGGUGAUAAUCCCACCUACAGUGUCAGUGUUUGUGUCCACCGUGCUGUCCCUGCUCAGCUUGGCUCUGCUGCUGCUGCUGUGUGUCAUCAGGAAGAAAAGACGGAUGGAGGGAAUGUACAGGCCCAGUGCCGAGGAGAGGAAACAGACAGGAGCAGCAGGAUCUGAAAAACCUGGCCUGCCUCUACCGUUGCCCAAAGAAGAACGCCUCAUAUGAUUGAACAUAUAAAAGUGGUGUUGCACACUUUCACCACGCUGCCGCUGUAUAAACCUGUGGAUCUAUACCUCCUGUUUCUUGAUGUUGCUCUGCUGCUGACCUCUGGGAUGAUGCAUGUUUGUGUUUUGCACCAGAAAUAUUCAGACACACUAAACACUGUUGGUGACAAGAAAUAGACUGAUCAAACUAUAUAUCACCUGUCUCACUGCAUGGAAAGAGGAAAUGCAUGUACCUUAACUAAAUAAGUCACUCCCUUUAUUCUGCCACAUAAGGAACAUGAGGUGAAGUAUGUUUUGUAUUUGUACAGAUGUCAGUGUAUUUUACUGUACUGUGUAUUUAUAUAAUAAACAUUGUGUUUUACACGUUUUCCGGUUAUGAAGGGUAUUGAUUAAAACACAGAUGAUGACUGUGAUGCACAUUUAUGUGGAGCUCUGAGAAUUUCUCAAUUUCUUAAACAUAAAAAUCAAUAUGUAUGGUACACAAGCUUUUCUGUUAAUAAACCAGGAAUGUGCACACUA